Molecule: ribosomal RNA, 304 nt
Filed under: uncultured bacterium
Lineage: Bacteria
Description: partial 16S ribosomal RNA
Rfam family: Bacterial small subunit ribosomal RNA
Source: RNAcentral
CAGCAGCAGCCGCGGGAAUACAGAGGGUGCGAGCGUUAAUCGGAUUUACUGGGCGUAAAGCGUGCGUAGGCGGCUUCUUAAGUCGGAUGUGAAAUCCCUGAGCUUAACUUAGGAAUUGCAUUCGAUACUGGGAAGCUAGAGUAUGGGAGAGGAUGGUAGAAUUCCAGGUGUAGCGGUGAAAUGCGUAGAGAUCUGGAGGAAUACCGAUGGCGAAGGCAGCCAUCUGGCCUAAUACUGACGCUGAGGUACGAAAGCAUGGGGAGCAAACAGGAUUAGAUACCCCCGUAGUCCCUGUCUCUUAUAA